AAUACACCGCACAUGUCCAAUUC
RNAcentral lists this small nuclear RNA (23 nucleotides) under Arabidopsis thaliana (thale cress). RNAcentral describes it as "snRNA_00501". The record is from RNAcentral. Lineage: Eukaryota; Viridiplantae; Streptophyta; Magnoliopsida; Brassicales; Brassicaceae.